AUGAAUUUAAAUAAAAACUUAGAAAAGUUUGAAAAAAAUCACAUAGAAAGUUCGAAGUCCAAAACCUGGCAAGUUCAUGGUAAAAACAAAAAAAGGCAGAAAAGGUACUUGGUGGUGGCAUUGCUUCACUUCCCUUGUUAUGCUCUCUUCGCCCAUGUUCCGAGAAUCAAGAAAACAAAUACUAGUGCUUGCAUGAAAAUGUAUGAGCAAAAAUACCCACAAAGGCUUUUGCGUAGAAACAUCACCUCCAUUCAUGCGCAGUACAUGCUUCUCCUGCCGCCGCGCCACCUGGAUCUAACGAGGCUACGUCACACUGGCCCCGGAUCCGCCCGCUUCCAAUGA
Molecule: ribosomal RNA, 342 nt
Filed under: Triticum aestivum (bread wheat)
Lineage: Eukaryota; Viridiplantae; Streptophyta; Magnoliopsida; Poales; Poaceae
Description: partial small subunit ribosomal RNA
Source: RNAcentral